Long non-coding RNA from Gymnodraco acuticeps, 406 nucleotides. RefSeq lists it as uncharacterized. The transcript has 2 exons. The record is from RefSeq and is a predicted model, not a curated record. NCBI's taxonomy places the organism in Eukaryota, Metazoa, Chordata, Actinopteri, Perciformes, Bathydraconidae.
UGCACUACUGGGCGCUGGCUCCUGACCCCCUGCAAAAACCGCGACAUAAGCGGCUGACUGAAGGCUGACCUGCCUCCAAAUCCCUCAUGGCAGGACGAAUUUAAAUAUCUUAUCAGCUGGUAACUGAUGUUGGUUGCCACCAGAGGCCUGAAUUCCACAGGACAGGAGUGGAGAAAAUAAACUGUCAGAGUGCAUCCAGUCACACCUGCCACCGUGUCACCGCCGGGUCACUUUCACAAUACAAUUCAAGUCAAGGACACCAAGCCAAAUUCACAAAAUUAUGUAAAUAUUUGCAGCGACGUGCAGUCAGGGGAGGCAGGGGAGGCAGAGCCUCACCUGUCAUACUCCAAUGUAACGGAAAAACAUGAAAAACUCAAUAGUAAUAAUAAUAAAAUGUCUCCACUGA